RNAcentral lists this ribosomal RNA (446 nucleotides) under uncultured bacterium. Its description in RNAcentral is "partial 16S ribosomal RNA". It matches the Rfam family "Bacterial small subunit ribosomal RNA", at positions 338 to 795 of the family's 1533-position model. The record is from RNAcentral.
CCUACGGGUGGCUGCAGUCGGGAAUCUUGCACAAUGGGGGAAACCCUGAUGCAGCGACGCCGCGUGGGGGAAUGAAGUCCUUGGGUUGUAAAACCCUUUUCUUGUGGGAGCAAAUGAAAAAGAUAGAACCACAAGAGUAAGAGACGGCUAACGCUGUGCCAGCAGCCGCGGUAAUACAGAGGUCGCAAGCGUUGUUCGGAAUCAAUUGGCGGAAAGCGUGUGUAGGCUGUUUCGUAAGUCGUGUGUGAACGGCGCGGGCUGAAGCCGCGGACGGCACAUGAUACUGGGAGACUAGAGUAAAGGAGAGGGAAGUGGAAUUCCUGGUGUAGCAGUGAAAUGCGUAGAUAUCGGGAGGAACACUCGUGGCGAAGGCGGGUUUCUGGACAUUAACUGACGCUGAGGCACGAAGGCGAGGGGAGCGAACAGGAUUAGAUACCCGGGUAGUC